Molecule: long non-coding RNA, 1464 nt
Filed under: Homo sapiens (human)
Lineage: Eukaryota; Metazoa; Chordata; Mammalia; Primates; Hominidae
Description: non-protein coding LINC02328:48
Source: RNAcentral
ACUUUAACAAAUCUUGCAGCCGCACACUCUUUGGGUCCGCCCGUUUCUCUAAUCAAGUUGUAACACUCGCUGCUGUGGUCCACAGCUUCAUUCCUUGAAGCCCGUGAGACACGAACGCUUCCAUUGAGAAAAACCUUCCAUCAGAAGAAGACUUCUCGUCUCAGUGGGACUGCUGAGUUGAAUGGUGCUUUUUUUUCUGAAGCUUUGGUAGUGUAACUGUAAGAGUCCUGGAAUUGGAAAAGCAAAUCCAGAAGUUGAGUUCCAUGACUUUUUUGCUGUUUGCCUUUGGACUUGCAUCAUUUAUAUUUUUAAUUCAUCGAGGAUGAGAAAAUUGAUUAACACAAAAUCUUUUCAUGUCUUUUCUGAUGAGAGACUAGCUGAAUCCAAGAAGAGAAGCCCUUGAAGAGUGUAUUCUAUUCUAGACAAGCAUUCACACAUUGGCUUCUUUGGUGCCAGAUUAAAGAAUGAAGAAAGGAUCAAAUUGAGACAUCCAGGGGGGAAGAGUUCCCUGGCAAAACUCCAAUCUGCCUGAGCACUGAGGUGGAGCCACAGAAGUCCGGGUCAUUUGCACCUGGGAGGAGCCUGGCCCCUCCUCUUCCUGUGUGGAAUCUGGGAUUUAAUCUGUGAGGAGGGAAGGCCAAGGGCAGGAAGCACAGGCUCUCACUUCACUAAGAGUCUCUGUUUCCCCUUUUUUUCCUUUAUGCCUAAUUAAUAAAUCCCAUUUUUCUCACUCUUCAAAUAGUCUUCAAGCCUAAAUUUUCAUGACCAUGGAACAAGGACCCCAUCUUUAGCUGAACUAAGGAAAAGUCCUGCAACAAAAUUCUUUGCUAAAAAUACAUGAGGUUGCCUUUUCCUUCUUAAUCUUAAAAGAAAUAUAUUUCAAUGGUUAACGUUUUAGUAAUUCAAAAAUUAUCAAGCAUUUGUUCACAACCAUAAGAUGUGCAUUGUUUUAUAUUCCUACUUAAUAAUAGACUAUAAUUGUCUAAUUAGACUGCCGAUGUUGAUCUUUGUGGCUCAUUGCAUUGAUUAUAAGCAGUGUUUUGGGUUUGUGUGUGUGUGUCAAAUUUAGGGUUUUUUUGGUAUGGCUGCUGGUUGGUGUAGCCUGUAUCCAGUAUCCUGUAUUAAUUCUAAUAUUUGCAUUUUGAACAUAUUUACAAGUUGCUAAAAUAGCAAAGCUUCGAGAUGAGCCUGGCUGAUAUGGCAAAACCCCGUCUCUACUAAAAAUACAAAAAUUAGCCUGGUGUGGUGGUGCAUGCCUGUAAUCCCAGCUACUUGGAAGUCUGAGGCAGGAGAAUCUCUUGAACCCAGAAGGUGGAGGUUGCAGUGGGCCAAGAUCGCACCACUGCACUCCAGCCUCGGUGAUAGAGCGAGACUACGUCUCAAAAAUAAAAUAAAAUAAAAUAAAAUAAAAAUAGCAAAGCUAUGUAUGGUUUCUCUGAGUUUUGUAAUUUAUCAUUGUUAACU